GAUGAACGCUGGCGGCGUGCCUAAUACAUGCCAGUCGAGCGAACAGACGAGGAGCUUGCUCCUCUGACGUUAGCGGCGGACGGGUGAGUAACACGUGGAUAACCUACCUAUAAGACUGGGAUAACUUCGGGAAACCGGAGCUAAUACCGGAUAAUAUAUUGAACCGCAUGGUUCAAUUGUGAAAGACGGUUUUGCUGUCACUUAUAGAUGGAUCCGCGCCGCAUUAGCUAGUUGGUAAGGUAACGGCUUACCAAGGCAACGAUGCGUAGCCGACCUGAGAGGGUGAUCGGCCACACUGGAACUGAGACACGGUCCAGACUCCUACGGGAGGCAGCAGUAGGGAAUCUUCCGCAAUGGGCGAAAGCCUGACGGAGCAACGCCGCGUGAGUGAUGAAGGUCUUCGGAUCGUAAAACUCUGUUAUUAGGGAAGAACAAAUGUGUAAGUAACUGUGCACGUCUUGACGGUACCUAAUCAGAAAGCCACGGCUAACUACGUG
Molecule: ribosomal RNA, 497 nt
Filed under: uncultured bacterium
Lineage: Bacteria
Description: partial 16S ribosomal RNA
Rfam family: Bacterial small subunit ribosomal RNA
Source: RNAcentral